AUUGGACGCUGGCGGCAUGCCUUACACAUGCAAGUCGAACGGUAACAGGUUAAGCUGACGAGUGGCGAACGGGUGAGUAAUGUAUCGGAACGUGCCCAGUCGUGGGGGAUAACGUAACGAAAGCUACGCUAAUACCGCAUACGAUCUACGGAUGAAAGCGGGGGAUCGCAAGACCUCGCGCGAUUGGAGCGGCCGAUAUCAGAUUAGGUUGUUGGUGAGGUAAAAGCUCACCAAGCCUGCGAUCUGUAGCUGGUCUGAGAGGACGACUAGCCAAACUGGAACUGAGACACGGUCCAGACUCCUACGGGAGGCAGCAGUGGGGAAUUUUGGACAAUGGACGCAAGUCUGAUCCAGCAAUGCCGCGUGCAGGACGAAGGCCUUCGGGUUGUAAACUGCUUUUGUACGGAACGAAACGGUGAGCUCUAAUACAGUUUGCUAAUGACGGUACCGUAAGAAUAAGCACCGGCUAACUACGUGCCAGCCGCCGCAGUAA
This 493-nucleotide ribosomal RNA is filed under the name uncultured bacterium. RNAcentral's name for it is "partial 16S ribosomal RNA". It matches the Rfam family "Bacterial small subunit ribosomal RNA", at positions 30 to 523 of the family's 1533-position model. The record is from RNAcentral.